RNAcentral lists this unclassified non-coding RNA (240 nucleotides) under soil metagenome. RNAcentral describes it as "partial contains 5.8S ribosomal RNA, internal transcribed spacer 2, and large subunit ribosomal RNA". The record is from RNAcentral.
AACCAUAGAAACCUGCGGAGUACCUGCGGAGGGAUCAUUACACAAUACAAUAUGAAGGCUGUCCGCAGCUGGAGUAUUUUAUUACCCUUGUCUUUUGCGCACUUGUUGUUUCCUGGGCGGGUUCGCUCGCCACCAGGACCACCAAAUAAACCUUUUUUAUGCAGUUGCAAUCAGCGUCAGUACAAACAAUGUAAAUCAUUUACAACUUUUAGCAAUGGAUCUCAGAUCGGAAGAGCACAC